Molecule: long non-coding RNA, 427 nt
Filed under: Lathyrus oleraceus (garden pea)
Lineage: Eukaryota; Viridiplantae; Streptophyta; Magnoliopsida; Fabales; Fabaceae
Description: Pisum sativum (pea) long non-coding RNA (PSAT_LNC030829)
Source: RNAcentral
AUGUUAAGAGUGGGACCGUGAAGAAACCUGGUAUGGCUAUUGAGACUUAUUUGUUUGCCAUGUUUGAUGAAAAUCAGAAGAAUGGUGCAUCAACUGAACAACAUUUUGGUCUCUUUAAUCCUGAUAAAUCGCCUAAAUAUCAAAUAAAUUUCAAUUAGAUAAAUUAAUGGAUGAUUUUAUGUUUGCCAUGUUUGAUGAAAAUCAGAAGAAUGGUGCAUCAACUGAACAACAUUUUGGUCUCUUUAAUCCUGAUAAAUCGCCUAAAUAUCAAAUAAAUUUCAAUUAGAUAAAUUAAUGGAUGAUUUUUACAAAAAAUAUAUAUGUAGCUAAGUAUUGCAUUCUAUGAAUAAUUGUGCCAGAGUGCACAUGACGUUGUUGUUGUUAGCAUGUUACUAUUUAUAUAAUGAAAGGUGAUAUACUUGUUUAA